CCUUGGAAAAGCAAGCUAACUCUGACAGCUAAAACUGCUCCACAGUGGAUGGGAAGAUCCCUGCGGCUCCGACCCCACAGCUACUCCCUCUGGUUUCUGGCCUGCACAGCUGACCCACACAGCGGGGCUCUCCGUGCCUCGGGAGCUUUCUGCUGAUGGAGCAUAGCUUCCAGGGACCCCCAGGAUUUGAAUCAAGACCAAUAAAUGAGGGCAGUGGUUGGAAUGGGUCAGCCCUGGGAGAUGGCGCUGAAGCUGGAGCCCGCACACCCAUCUGCCGGGUGCAGGGGAGGGAAGACUGCUGGGGACCUGGCUAUUUUCACUUUCUCCAUUGGCUGCUAUGUGUAUCUCUGCUAAUACAUCAGGAAAAUUAAUAAAUCUGAAACUU
Hyaena hyaena (striped hyena) is the source of this 385-nucleotide long non-coding RNA. RefSeq lists it as uncharacterized. The record is from RefSeq and is a predicted model, not a curated record. Lineage: Eukaryota; Metazoa; Chordata; Mammalia; Carnivora; Hyaenidae. The transcript has 2 exons.